Molecule: unclassified non-coding RNA, 305 nt
Filed under: plant metagenome
Description: partial contains 5.8S ribosomal RNA, internal transcribed spacer 2, and large subunit ribosomal RNA
Rfam family: 5.8S ribosomal RNA (bases 1-105)
Source: RNAcentral
GAAAUGCGAUAAGUAGUGUGAAUUGCAGAAUUCAGUGAAUCAUCGAAUCUUUGAACGCACAUUGCGCCCUUUGGUAUUCCUUAGGGCAUGCCUGUUCGAGCGUCAUCUAAACCUUCAAGCCCUGCUUGGUGUUGGGUGCCCGUCCCGCCUCCGCGCGCGGACUCACCUCAAAUCCAUUGGCGGCCCCCGCGUCGGCCACGAGCGCAGCAGAAACGCGAACUCGUGAGCCCGUCCGGGCGGCUCCCAGAAGCUACACCCACCCAGUUUGACCUCGGAUCAGGUAGGGAUACCCGCUGAACUUAAGC